GCGUUUUUUAGAGUAUGUGAAAGCAUCAUUGCUCAUCUUGUUUACAUCUCUUGAUCCACCUUGUGAGCCACGUGGCUCCUCGGCUCGGGACCGAGGAGCUGAGCUGAAAUCCUCUUCAUCCUCCUGACUAAAAUGGCACAGUCCGUAUGUUUUGGAUCUGACGACCGUCUUCUUGGGAGGGUUUGUCUUCACGGAAGCUCUCCCUCGCUCCUCGUAAUCCGCAAGAACUGUGUCCAUCUCUCCAUCAAUGUCAUCGUCCUCCCGAGAAAAGUCAGAGUCGUGCCCCUCGCUGUGGCAGUCCGGUUGCGCACGGUUGCGCGUGUUGCGCAAAAUUGCAUGGAUUUUGAGAGGCUUGAAUGGACGGCUGUCCUGUUUGGGUGAAGUGACACCGCCAGUUGUUUUGGUCACGUUCACUUCGCUGACACACGCAGGUGCAACUUUCUUCCCUCGGCUUGUGCCGCUGCCCAUGUCCGUCCGUCUGACUGCUUUCAAAAUCUAAGUGCAGAGUUUCAUUUCCAAAUUCCUCUUCAGGUACACCAAGACCUUCCAGAAGUUGAACAUUAACCAGCAACGAUCCUUGGCAGCCUGUUUAAGGUCAGUUUUCAAUUAGGUUUACGGCUGUAAGACAGUUAUUUGGCUAAAAACCAGCUCUAGGGGCCGAUUUUCUUUAAAAUGUUCCGCUACCGAUCUGCAGACGAACUGCUGAGAUGAUCUCCAUGUUUGCAGACCCGCUGCCUGUAAACUUUUUAACUGCACAUCAGGAUGAGAAGCAGUGUAUCAGUUACAUAACACCAGUUUGGCUCAGGAUCCCAGGGAGAAAACUCCGCCUUCUCAUAGCGCUAAUAGAUUUUAUUGAGGCAAGUGAGGUCAGGAGUGAGUGAGUUGCUGUCCGCCCGCCUGGUCCAGGAGGCCCCCAGCUCACCAGCCCCUCCAGUGACUGAUUAAGACUGAAGCACUGAGCCACAAGACAAGAGGGGGCAUUCCUUUCCGACAGCUUGGGCUUCCCAGAGAUUCCUCAAUAAGCUUUUGUUUGAUCCACUUGGACAUACAAAAGACACAGCGGGAGCAUCUCCCUGCCAGAGCUGUCCAACAGGAACCUAGAGUUCACCCAAGUAAAGGAGUUGUUUGCUAUCUUUCAUUAAGUGCCUCUUUCUCUCUUCUCUUGCUUGUGUGUGCACAUAUGUGUGUGUGUGCCAGACAGCUGUGCAACCUGUUCUCCCUGGAGGAUGACCAAGUCAAAGACACCUGCUGUGUAAGCAACUGGCAUUUUUCAAACUGUGAAUGUGAGAGGGGAACAAAUCAGCCUGCAAGUCCCAGAUGUGUCAUCAAGGAAAUUCCUGCUUUACUUUUUUUUGGAGAACAUGUCGGGGAAAAGAUCUACGCUAUUGUUCCUUUACUUAAAUGUUACUCAAACAGGAUGCUUAUGCUUUUGAAGACUACUUUCAGUAGCAGUUAUUCUUCAUGAAAGGCCCAGUGUGUUAUCCUGAUUAUAACCAUUUCAAUAUGAAUACCUAUCUCUAACCAAUCUCUCCAUUUUAAUAAAGUCCAAAGAUAAUAAUUUCUUUAUGAAAAGGUUUUCUUAUAGAUUGCCUUAUAGGAAAAAGAGCUUCAGAGCAAAACUGGGACAUCCUCCAGAUUGUGCAAUAAUAGCAUAAAUGUAUACUAUAGUUCUUGCCUCUCCAAAAGUCCAAUAAAAUCCAGUAGUAGUAGAAGAAGUAGAAGUCCUAAUUUUAGAUUGUACCCAAAAGUAAAAGCACACAAACAAGCUUCCUUUUCAUCCCUGCUUCUCAUGGAGUUUUGUUUUUGUAAUUUUUUGACCCCCAUUUUUGUUAUGCUCUGUCUGCAACAGUGUAUCAUUAAAAGAAUCAGGCGGCCACAUCUGGAAGAGAACUCAACAGCUUCCAGACGAGGGGGAGGAUCUGCCGCAAGACGGAGGCCACAGCCCAGCUCGCUGCAUAACUGUGGCUUCUCUGACUUCUCCCAGAUUCAAGAAUAUUCCUCCUCCCAUGCCACUUGAUAGACUGGGGAACAUUCUUGUUCUGGAUUCUGCAUGUCUUUGUGCAUUAAAUCCUCCAAAACUAUGUGAAUUGAAAUGAUUUUGGGACAAUGUGUUCGCUGCUUUAACUGUCACGAAUAAAAAUGCCCUUUGACCCUCCCAA
Molecule: long non-coding RNA, 2159 nt
Organism: Perca flavescens (yellow perch)
Lineage: Eukaryota; Metazoa; Chordata; Actinopteri; Perciformes; Percidae
Exons: 2
Source: RefSeq, a predicted model, not a curated record